UGCGUUGUCUUUACAUAGCUGUUAGGAAUCGGUCUUCAUGUGAUCCGGUUUUUCCGUUUUUCUGUUUAGCACGAAGCCAGCGUCGUUGUGCUGUGCCGUGCGUGUAGAUCGCUCGCAGGAUGUUCUCUCGGUCGUGGGAUGGCACGAUCACGUAGGGGAGUCUUUUCCGGAGCAGUUUCUUUCCGUUGAGAAUAAAUAGAACAAACGAAAAGCAGC
This 216-nucleotide long non-coding RNA is filed under the name Brachypodium distachyon (stiff brome). RNAcentral describes it as "long non-coding RNA (BDIS_LNC002937)". Lineage: Eukaryota; Viridiplantae; Streptophyta; Magnoliopsida; Poales; Poaceae. The record is from RNAcentral.